UCUAGUAGAGACGACCUGAAUCCGGUGGUCAGAUUUGUUUGGGUUACGUUUGGACGUGAACUGAUGUGCAGCUGUGUGAGGUAGACAGAGUAAAAGAGAGUGGGACGGAGAAUGAAGGAACGGAAGAGGGAGAAAGGGAGGAGGAGACAUAUCCACGUAUAAGACGUGGCUCUCGUUUUAUCAAACCCAAGAUAUGAGUUUCGACAAGAGAAAUUAAAAUUGUAUAUUUUGAUUCAUUAAACUGCACUUGCGAGAGCGCUUC
Molecule: long non-coding RNA, 262 nt
Organism: Ostrea edulis (European flat oyster)
Lineage: Eukaryota; Metazoa; Mollusca; Bivalvia; Ostreida; Ostreidae
Exons: 2
Source: RefSeq, a predicted model, not a curated record